Molecule: microRNA precursor, 68 nt
Filed under: Clunio marinus
Lineage: Eukaryota; Metazoa; Arthropoda; Insecta; Diptera; Chironomidae
Description: mir-2 microRNA precursor family
Rfam family: mir-2 microRNA precursor family
About the family: The miRNAs are transcribed as ~70nt precursors (modelled here) and subsequently processed by the Dicer enzyme to give a ~22nt product. In this case the mature sequence comes from the 3' arm of the precursor. The extents of the hairpin precursors are not generally known and are estimated based on hairpin prediction.
Source: Rfam by way of RNAcentral
UAGCUCUCAAAGAGGUUGUGAAAUGUUCAAUUUGACUUUCAUAUCACAGCCAGCUUUGAAGAGCUUAA